RNAcentral lists this ribosomal RNA (528 nucleotides) under uncultured bacterium. RNAcentral describes it as "bacterial SSU rRNA". It matches the Rfam family "Bacterial small subunit ribosomal RNA", at positions 28 to 526 of the family's 1533-position model. The record is from RNAcentral.
AAUGAACGUUGGCGGCGUGGAUUAGGCAUGCAAGUCGAGCGGUAGAGGUCCUCUCACCACGUGCUUUCCCUCGGGAGAGCAUGGAGAGCAUGAGGUGAGAGGGCCUUGAGAGCGGCGAAAGGGAGAGUAACGCGUAGUUACGUGCCCCAGGGUUCGGAAUAGCCACGGGAAACUGUGGGUAAUGCCGAAUAACAUCUUCGGAUCAAAGGUGUGAUUCCGCCCUGGGAGCGGACUGCGUUGUACUAGCUAGUUGGUAGGGUAAUGGCCUACCAAGGCGAUGAUGCAUAGCGGGCGUGAGAGCGUGGCCCGUCUCACUGGGACUGAGACACUGCCCAGACACCUACGGGUGGCUGCAGUCGAGAAUCUUCGGCAAUGCGCGAAAGCGUGACCGAGCGACGCCGUGUGUGGGAUGAAGGCCUUCGGGUUGUAAACCACUGUCGUAGGGGAGGAAGGCUCCGUGAAGAACGGGGUUUGACCUAUCCUAGGAGGAAGGACGGGCUAAGUUCGUGCCAGCAGCCGCAGUAAUAC